RNAcentral lists this ribosomal RNA (234 nucleotides) under uncultured bacterium. RNAcentral describes it as "partial 16S ribosomal RNA". It matches the Rfam family "Bacterial small subunit ribosomal RNA", at positions 100 to 334 of the family's 1533-position model. The record is from RNAcentral.
CGGGACGGGUGAGUAAUGUCUGGGAAACUGCCUGAUGGAGGGGGAUAACUACUGGAAACGGUAGCUAAUACCGCAUAACGUCGCAAGACCAAAGAGGGGGACCGUUCGGGCCUCUUGCCAUCGGAUGUGCCCAGAUGGGAUUAGCUAGUAGGUGGGGUAACGGCUCACCUAGGCGACGAUCCCUAGCUGGUCUGAGAGGAUGGCCAGCCACACUGGAACUGAGACACGGUCCAG